RNAcentral lists this ribosomal RNA (687 nucleotides) under Triticum aestivum (bread wheat). Its description in RNAcentral is "partial small subunit ribosomal RNA". The record is from RNAcentral. Lineage: Eukaryota; Viridiplantae; Streptophyta; Magnoliopsida; Poales; Poaceae.
AUUGAGACUGACAGUGUCUGUACGAUCUGCGGGAGGGAAGAGGAAGAUGAGUUCCAUGCUGUCAUCAAGUGCACCAAAGCACGAGCGAUCAGAGAGGAAAUGCGAAAGCAUUGGAACUUGCCGGCGGAGAAUCAAUUUUGUUUUACUGGAAACGAUUGGCUUCAGAAUCUUCUGGGCAAACAUACUGCCGAUGUACGUAGCAAAACCAUGCUCCUGUUAUGGAGGGCCUGGUGGCUCCGUGAUGAUUGCAUCCAUGGGGAGGGCAAAGCAACGAUAGGACAGUCCGUCCAAUUCCUAGCUAAAUAUGCUACAGAGAUUGGAAUUAGUGGAUCAGUGAACCACCCUUACUCCGACACAUACCACCUGAUGGGAGACCAAGGCGCACAUGUUAUAGACACGAGGCGCGAGGAAAUCAGAAGAGGGAAGCUACCUUGGGGGCAGAAUACGAAGUGUGACAGUGUGGACAGUGCUGACGUAGCUGGGCAUGCAUUCCAUCCGGGUGCGCCAAGGGAGGAACAAAGACGGACAACGGGGAGCCUGUGGGAACCACCUGAUGCGGGCAUCUGGAAACUGAAUUCGGACGCAUCUUUCCUUCCAAGACACCGGGGAUACUUCGGCGGGAAUUAUUGUCAGAGAUCACCGGGGUGUGGUUGCUUUGGCUUGUGGACAACGACCCCAGGCCUGUAA